RNAcentral lists this ribosomal RNA (380 nucleotides) under uncultured bacterium. Its description in RNAcentral is "bacterial SSU rRNA". It matches the Rfam family "Bacterial small subunit ribosomal RNA", at positions 96 to 507 of the family's 1533-position model. The record is from RNAcentral.
CGGCGGACGGCUAGAAGUACGCGGUAGGAACAUCGACCCAAGUGAGGAUACGCAACCGAAAGGUGUGCUAAUACCGCAUAUGGUCUUCGGAUUAAAGGAUUUUAUCCGCUUUGGGAGUGGCCCGCGUACGAUUAGAUUGUUGGUGAGGUAACGGCUCACCAAGUCGACGAUCGUUAACUGGUCUGAGAGGAUGAUCAGUCAGACUGGAACUGAGACACGGUCCAGACUCCUACGGGAGGCAGCAGUAAGGAAUCUUCCACAAUGGGCGAAAGCCUGAUGGAGCAACGCCGCGUGCAGGAUGAAGGCCCUCGGGUCGUAAACUGCUUUUAUGAGUGAAGAAUAUGACGGUAACUCAUGAAUAAGCACCGGCUAACUACGUG